ACACAGGGGCCGAGUGCGGGAGAGGACAUGCGUCUUUAUCCCACAGCAGAGGGAAACCUCCCCAGGCCUCUAGUCCAGGCCUGACCCCUAUCGGGGUGGCCUUUGGGAGGGAGGGUCCCUUGGGAUGCUAGGUAAAGAUCGGGGAGGUCAGGGCGGCAGGAGCCGGGCUGGCAGGAGGCUGACGGUCCCUGCAGGUGCAUAAAGGUGCAGGAGAACUGGCAAGACCCCAAGAAUGGAUAUGCCUCCUUAAACGUGUGUCCUGUGUGCCCCGCUCACCUUACCCGAGACCCAGCCCCAGCCCCGGUCACAGAGGGAGAAAUUUGAAUAUAAGACACAAUGGAAAUAGCAAAACCAGUUCCACUCUCCUUAGUCUUCUAAACAGAAAGAGGGAUUCGAUGUGGGAAGCAGUAAAAGUUUAUUCCACACCAGGAGAUUUUAUGUUUUUGCCCCUAGAGCACUUUUCCCCUUGUUUUACUCGUGUUUUGGAAAUCUAGAAGACUUGCAAGUAUGGAGGAAAACAAUGAAAACAGCCUAACUGUUGGAUAUUUUUAAAAGAAAAUUCAGCAGAGCAGUUUACCCCCUUCCAGAUGUGGUUUCGCAUGGGCACAGUGGGACGGAAACUAGAUUCUCAACAGCAAAAGCCUUAUUUUCACUGAGAGUGGUUGAAGGAAAAUUAUUGUAUGCUGUUAAAAGAACUGAAAAACAGCAUGUGAAUCUCAUCAGCUGGAUAUAUUGUGACAACAUCAGCUGAUUGUUAUGCAUCUCAAAAUAUGAAACUCCAUCAAUUUUUCUAAAUUUGCUUUUGCACAUCAGUGGAACUUGAGCGAGCUAUCUAUCUAUCUACCUACCUAUCUAUCUAUCUAUCUAUCUAUCUAUCUAUCUAUCUAUCUAUCUAUCAUCUAGUCUAGAAAGCUGAGAAGGAAAGCAGAGACCAAAAGCCCAGCUGGAAGGGCACCUGUUGGCUGCAUCUGUUGACUGCACCUGUUAGUAGCAUCAGGAGGCACACCUGCACAAGGUGUGGAGUAGUCUGGGGGCUUGUGGGAGAGGGAGAUGAUCUGAUCGACACCACCAGUCUUCCCGCAUCCUCAGCACCACCUCCAUCCUCAUCGGAUGUAGAUACACUAUCCAGCCUCAGUGACUCGCUCCAGCUCACGCACCUGCUACAUGGACAUCGUGGAGGCCAAGCUUCUGAUCUUGGCAGGACAGUGGCUCUGCACAGCUGACCAUUUGACACCCCAGGACCUAGGGAUGGACAUGGUGAAAUAUAACAUUCUGAUCUGGCCCUAAAUCUGCUGCUUGGUCACAGAAGGCCAAGGGAAGGCUUAUGCGGUUAAGGGAAAAAACUCACCCGAAGCAUAUCAAGUGUUGUCUGCUGUCAUCAGGCUCUGAGCAGUUCUCUCUACAAUGAUGCUUAGAAAACCAGGAAGAAAUACUCCCACCUCCAAGGCUGUGUUGCUAAGUGUGUGUUUCCAGAGUUGCCUUGGGCAAAGUCCGUUGCCCAUCACCACAGCUUCGGGUCAUCGCUGCCACGAGGACUCCCCCUUCACAGGAAGAAGGGAAUCCACGCUUCCCUGCCUGCUUGGCCUGAGUUGACGUCCUUGCUCUGGGCUGUGAGGUCUACAUACCUGGCCCUGCAAGGUUCAGCCCCACGCAUGGACCUUCUGUGUCUGCAACCUCCCAGCAUCAGCACGAAAAAGCAACCUGCCGUAGAGAGCGGGGGUGUGGUCCAGCAGUCCUGCACCUGCUGGGAUGUGGAUGAGGCGCAUGCUGAGAACAACCCGGUGGGAAAGGCCUACUUUCUCAAGUGCUCCUUCUGGGAAAACAGCCCCAGGUGUUCAGAGACCAGCUGCAGACCAAACGGCAAAGCUGCAGACCAUCCCCCGCCGGCCUUUGUGACCAAGAAGAAACACCCUGUGAGUUAAGUGUCCAGUUAAAACAUGGAGAGGCCAAGGUGAUGGCUGAGCGGCACUCAGUGUUGGGUCCUUCUGGCUUGGGAAGGGCACGCCCCGUGCCUUGAGCCCUUUGUCACACGUUUUUGUUCCAUGAAACAGAUAAUUGCUGAUUUGGGGACGAUAACCUCAGAUACUAGCUAAACCAUUUUUGAACUUCC
RNAcentral lists this long non-coding RNA (2110 nucleotides) under Sus scrofa (pig). RNAcentral describes it as "lncRNA (ENSSSCG00060012074.1)". Lineage: Eukaryota; Metazoa; Chordata; Mammalia; Artiodactyla; Suidae. The record is from RNAcentral.